RNAcentral lists this ribosomal RNA (468 nucleotides) under uncultured bacterium. RNAcentral describes it as "partial 16S ribosomal RNA". It matches the Rfam family "Bacterial small subunit ribosomal RNA", at positions 28 to 507 of the family's 1533-position model. The record is from RNAcentral.
GACGAACGCUGGCGGCGUGCUUAACACAUGCAAGUCGAACGGAAAGGCCCUGCUUUUGUGGGGUGCUCGAGUGGCGAACGGGUGAGUAACACGUGAGUAACCUGCCCUUGACUUUGGGAUAACUUCAGGAAACUGGGGCUAAUACCGGAUAGGAGCUCCUGCUGCAUGGUGGGGGUUGGAAAGUUUCGGCGGUUGGGGAUGGACUCGCGGCUUAUUAGCUUGUUGGUGGGGUAGUGGCUUACCAAGGCUUUGACGGGUAGCCGGCCUGAGAGGGUGACCGGCCACAUUGGGACUGAGAUACGGCCCAGACUCCUACGGGAGGCAGCAGUGGAGAAUAUUGCACAAUGGGCGGAAGCCUGAUGCAGCAACGCCGCGUGCGGGAUGACGGCCUUCGGGUUGUAAACCGCUUUCGCCUGUGACGAAGCGUGAGUGACGGUAAUGGGUAAAGAAGCACCGGCUAACUACGUG